This 771-nucleotide ribosomal RNA is filed under the name uncultured Gammaproteobacteria bacterium. Its description in RNAcentral is "bacterial SSU rRNA". It matches the Rfam family "Bacterial small subunit ribosomal RNA", at positions 58 to 814 of the family's 1533-position model. The record is from RNAcentral. Lineage: Bacteria; Pseudomonadati; Pseudomonadota; Gammaproteobacteria.
CAAGUCGAGCGGUAACAUGAUAAGUAGCAAUACUUAUUGUGAUGACGAGCGGCGGACGGGUUGAGGAACACGUAGGAAUCUACCUUCAAGCGGGGGACAACCAAUGGAAACGUUGGCUAAUACCGCAUAACAUCGAGAGAUCAAAGUUGCUCGCAAGGGUGACACUUGAAGAGGAGCCUGCGUCCGAUUAGCUAGUUGGUGAGGUAAGAGCUCACCAAGGCGAUGAUCGGUAACUGGUCUGAGAGGACGGCCAGUCACACUGGGACUGAGACACGGCCCAGACUCCUACGGGAGGCAGCAGUGGGGAAUCUUGGACAAUGGGGGCAACCCUGAUCCAGCGAUGCCGCGUGAGUGAAGAAGGCCUUCGGGUCGUAAAGCUCUUUAGGUUGGGAAGAAGUCUAUGAGAGGAAAUGCUUGUAGAUUGACGGUACCGACAGAAUAAGCACCGGCAAACUCUGUGCCAGCAGCCGCGGUAAUACAGAGGGUGCGAGCGUUAAUCGGAUUUACUGGGCGUAAAGGGCGCGUAGGCGGUUUUAUGAGUGUGAUGUGAAAGCCCCGGGCUUAACCUGGGAAGCGCAUCGCAAACGAUAGAACUAGAGUAGAUGAGAGGGUGAUGGAAUUUCCGGUGUAGCGGUGAAAUGCGUAGAGAUCGGAAGGAACGUCAAUGGCGAAGGCAGUUCACCUGGCAUCAUACUGACGCUGAGGCGCGAAAGCGUGGGGGAGCGAACAGGAUUAGAUACCCUGGUAGUCCCCCGCUGUUAAACGAUGACA